This 960-nucleotide long non-coding RNA is filed under the name Homo sapiens (human). Its description in RNAcentral is "HSALNT0323641". The record is from RNAcentral. Lineage: Eukaryota; Metazoa; Chordata; Mammalia; Primates; Hominidae.
AAGAUACAAGAUACUUCAAUGAAUAAAACAAAGACCUUUGCUUUCCUGAAACUUGAGAUCAAAUGGAGGACACACAAAAACAACGCACCUACAAAUCACCAUAUUGUGUGUCAGGAGCUGAGGAUGCUAUGAAAACCCCUUGAGGAAACAAAGGCACCUUGGGGGCCAUUGAGAACUCCUGACGAAGAGGGCUCAGCUGCCAGACCUGCUCAAGAAAGACCUCAGAAAUCUCUAUGGGGCUGUCAGAAGAAAAGCUGGGGGAAGCACAGUGCUGCGUUGUUGGCAGCCCACUGAAAAGGUGGACAACUCAUCGCCAGGAGCUGAAGUCCCCAGCCUAACAACCCAGAGGAACUCAGACUUGCCAACAACCGUGUACAUGAGCUUGAAGACAAACUUGCAACUCCAGUCCAACCUUGAGAUGACCGCAACUUCACGAGAAGCCUUGAGCCAGAACCACCCAACUAAGCCGUCCCCAGAUUCCUCAUACCCAUCACUGUCAGAAAGAGUUUGUUGUAAGCUGCUAAGAAUUAGGAUUCCACAUUGCAGCUAAUCUUCAUUAAACUACCACGUGGUGAAUUUUAAUGUAGUAUCCAAGAAGCAUACUGACACCUUCUCCAUUGUCCUACUAUGUAUCUGUGUAAGGCCAGAUUUUCUUCAUAUACAUUAACCAAAGCAACAUAUGGCAACAGACUGAAUGAAGAGGCAGGUUUCCUGGGACUCUGUUGCAUCAAAUUCUACUGCUAGGCAUCAAUUUUAAAGUAUUUCAUCAGUUGGACCUACCAAAUAUCAAGUCAGGAUUUGGCCAUCUCUGCUCUUGCCAUUCCACCUCUCACGACUCUAUCCUCAAACUCCACUUAAUAGAAACUUGUCAUUUGAAUGAAGACAGAAAGGGCAAGAGUGCAGUGGUAUAAUUUUGAGCCUUUUACAAGCCCACAUCUGAGUUCGAGAUGCCUAUAUGAU